GCCGAUUUGUAUACCGAAUAAACCGCUCCCCAAUGUGUGAAUAUAUGAUCAACUUCAUCCACAAGCUCAAACACUUACCAGAGAAAUAUAUGAUGAACAGUGUUUUGGAAAACUUCACAAUUUUAUUGGUGGUAACAAACAGGGAUACACAAGAAACUCUACUCUGCAUGGCCUGUGUGUUUGAAGUUUCAAAUAGUGAACACGGAGCACAACAUCAUAUUUACAGGCUUGUAAAGGACUGAACAUGGUUAUUUAUAUAUAUAGAUAUCUGUAUAUACACACACACAUAUGUGCACACACACACUCUCUCUCCAUUAUCGAACGACUGACUGUAAACCUCACCACACAGGGUGGUGCCCUGGCCCCGAGGUCACCCCGACUUUUCUAAAUCUUGUUUGAGUGAAGUCAUUUUUUCAUGUGUUCAUACUAUCAUUGUAGCUGUGAAGUUCUGGUACAGUUGUAAAAAGAGAAAUUGAGUUGUUUCUCUAUGUUCUUCAGAUGUGCAGCCCACAAUUCCUCGGGAAAGGUGAACCUGAACAACCCAAGUCUCUCUCUGCAGAGCCCUGUUUCUAAUUGUGGUAGAAAAUAUUGAGACAGAGCAUUUGCCAUGGGACAUUUACAGCCUUUAUACAAAUGUAUUUAGUUCUCUUUUUUCCAACAUAAAAUUCUUGUUUUAAGAUACAAGUAAAAUUAAUCUUUAAAUAUAAAUGUAAAUUAGUACACAAAACUAAGAAUCUUUAGACUUAUCUUUGUAACUAAUUAGGGUGGAAGUUAUGAAAGAAUGUAAUUCACUAAAUUAUUUUUUAAAUGAAACCUUUUUUUUUCUUUUUGAAACCAAAUGUUAAACUAUAGCCUUAAGAAAUGCUUGGUAGAAGUGUCCUAAUGAGACAAAUUUGUACUUUUAUCCUCAAGGUUAACACUAAUCUCCUAAUCCAUUAAACUCUUGAACAGGUAUUACAAAGGAAGAAAACUUCACCCCUUAUCCUUAACAUAUAUAGUAUAUUUAAAAAAUAUAAAAUUGUAUUGUACUAAUGUGAUGAUGGAUUAUUU
RNAcentral lists this long non-coding RNA (1050 nucleotides) under Homo sapiens (human). RNAcentral's name for it is "HSALNT0172250". The record is from RNAcentral. Lineage: Eukaryota; Metazoa; Chordata; Mammalia; Primates; Hominidae.